UGGGGAAUAUUGGACAAUGGGCGAAAGCCUGAUCCAGCCAUGCCGCGUGUGUGAAGAUGGUCUUCGGAUUGUAAAGCACUUUAAGUUGGGAGGAAGGGCAGUAAGCGAAUACCUUGCUGUUUGGACGUUACCGACAGAAUAAGCACCGGCUAACUCUGUGCCAGCAGCCGCGGUAAUACAGAGGGUGCAAGCGUUAAUCGGAAUUACUGGGCGUAAAGCGCGCGUAGGUGGUUCGUUAAGUUGAAUGUGAAAGCCCCGGGCUCAACCUGGGAACUGCGUCCGAACCUGGCGAGCUAGAGUAGGGCAGAGGGUGGUGGAAUUUCGUGUGUAGCGGUGAAAUGCGUAGAUAUAGGAAGGAACACCAGUGGCGAAGGCGACCACCUGGGCUCAUACUGACACUGAGGUGCGACAGCGUGGGGAGCAAACAGG
RNAcentral lists this ribosomal RNA (429 nucleotides) under Pseudomonadota bacterium. Its description in RNAcentral is "Proteobacteria bacterium partial 16S ribosomal RNA". It matches the Rfam family "Bacterial small subunit ribosomal RNA", at positions 355 to 776 of the family's 1533-position model. Lineage: Bacteria; Pseudomonadati; Pseudomonadota. The record is from RNAcentral.